AGUGAACGCUGGCGGUAGGCCUAACACAUGCAAGUCGAACGGCAGCACAGUAAGAGCUUGCUCUUACGGGUGGCGAGUGGCGGACGGGUGAGGAAUACAUCGGAAUCUACUUUUUCGUGGGGGAUAACGUAGGGAAACUUACGCUAAUACCGCAUACGACCUACGGGUGAAAGCAGGGGAUCUUCGGACCUUGCGCGAUUGAAUGAGCCGAUGUCGGAUUAGCUAGUUGGCGGGGUAAAUGCCCACCAAGGCGACGAUCCGUAGCUGGUCUGAGAGGAUGAUCAGCCACACUGGAACUGAGACACGGUCCAGACUCCUACGGUAGGCAGCAGUGGGGAAUAUUGGACAAUGGGCGCAAGCCUGAUCCAGCCAUACCGCGUGGGUGAAGAAGGCCUUCGGGUUGUAAAGCCCUUUUGUUGGGAAAGAAAAGCAGCAGGUUAAUACCCCGCUGUUCUGACGGUACCCAAAGAAUAAGCACCGGCUAACUUCGUG
Molecule: ribosomal RNA, 492 nt
Filed under: uncultured bacterium
Lineage: Bacteria
Description: partial 16S ribosomal RNA
Rfam family: Bacterial small subunit ribosomal RNA
Source: RNAcentral